AGAGUGAACGCUGGCGGUAGGCCUAACACAUGCAAGUCGAACGGCAGCACAGUGGUAGCAAUACCAUGGGUGGCGAGUGGCGGACGGGUGAGGAAUACAUCGGAAUCUACCUUUUCGUGGGGGAUAACGUAGGGAAACUUACGCUAAUACCGCAUACGCCCGUUCGGGGGAAAGCCGGGGAUCGCAAGACCUGGCGCGGAUAGAUGAGCCGAUGUCGGAUUAGCUAGUUGGUGAGGUAAUGGCUCACCAAGGCGACGAUCCGUAGCUGGUCUGGAGAGGAUGAUCAGCCACACGUGGAACUGAGACACGGUCCAGACCUCGACGGGAGCAGCGAGUGGGAAUAGUGGACAAGUGGGCACGAAGCCCUAGACUCCGACGACC
Molecule: ribosomal RNA, 381 nt
Filed under: uncultured soil bacterium
Lineage: Bacteria
Description: bacterial SSU rRNA
Rfam family: Bacterial small subunit ribosomal RNA
Source: RNAcentral